UCCUAAGUGGGGGGCGGGAGAGCAGUGAGAGGAAGGAGGGAAACUCCAGGGUGUGACUCUGGAGCUCCAGGGAGAAGAGCUGCAGCAAGCAGGCCCUCCCAAAGUGAAGCAGCAGAGAACCUGUCUGAAGCCUGGCAGGGACAGAGUGGCUGAUCGGGGACACCCCAGGACAGGAGUCAGGAGAAGCACUGUGGGAAUUGCCAGAGAAGGACAGGCUGCAGCUGGACCCAUGCUGCAUGGGGCUCAGCAAUGGCUUCUGAGGCCCUGAGCAACUGCCUGAAGUUCAUAAAAAUAGAAUAGCCUAAACCCAGCUGAAGGAUCAGCCUGAACUAGGUAUUACGCUAUCUCUGAAGAGGACCCAAGUACAACAAAGAAAAUAUUUGGCCGAAGGAUAUUAGUUUGCUCUUCUAGACUGAUGAGUACUUUUCGAGCCAGGUUCGUUGUCGGAUAGCUCCAGUGAAGAUUCCAAUAAAUUACAUAAAUAGGAGCAAAGCACACACCCUUCUGUCCAAGGCUUCCCAGCGCCAGGGAGUCCGCCACAGUCCCCGCGACUGCGAGUCUUAGACGUCUGGGUUACAAGACAGACAGCGCCGGGCGGCGACCGAUUUUUCCGGGAUUCAGGGUGGGAGGAAUUAUUCGGCCAAGAAAUCGUCCAUGUGAGCAGAUUUUCAAGCGAUACUUAGCUGUAACCUCAGCUCUGGAGACACUGGAGGUGGCUGUAUAAUGGCAUGCAUAACGAGAGAUCUUUUGGAUGGAAUGUUUGUAUUGGCCCUGGAGAUCAUGUCAUACAUGGACUCUCUUCUGUGUCUUAACUUGACAAAUCAACUGCUUCAUGUUUGGUGUCCCAGUAUUAGAAACUAAGCAACACUCAGUUUAUUUAACGUGAAACGUGUCCCUGGUUGUGUUUUAUAUCGAAAGGUGUGUAAGUGACGUUAAAAUUAUACCGAUUUCUUUCUGAAAUAAGUGCUAUAGGGUGUUCUAAAAAUUGCCUUUUAAUUGUCUCUUUAUGAAAUAUUUUUGUUUUUUAAAUGUAUUAUAAUUAAAUAUAUCAAUGCUGUCAGAAAACAUCAAGUGUCCUUAAACA
Molecule: long non-coding RNA, 1084 nt
Organism: Chelonia mydas (Green sea turtle)
Lineage: Eukaryota; Metazoa; Chordata; Testudines; Cheloniidae
Exons: 4
Source: RefSeq, a predicted model, not a curated record